UUUCUCAGUGCCUCCGUCUGCCACGUUUCUUAGUCUGCUGCGUUUUUCAGGUUGGUUUUUAAUUCUUAGUUCUUUUUUUCUCUUCUUUCUUCUUUCUUUUCUCUUCUUUCACAUUUCUUUUCCUCGUUACUUACUCUGUUUUUUAGUCUUCUUUCUCUUUUUUUUUAUUCAAGCCUUCUUCCUCUUUUUCUUGCUCUGAUUCUUUUUUGUUUGUUUUCUUUCCUUUAAGUAAUAGUAAAUUAAUAAAUUUAUUCCUCUUCUUCCUCUUUUAUUUGUAGACAAUAGCCAGCAUAUUCUUCUACACCAUCUCUGAAUUCUACAUUUGUCGCCUCCUGUGGCCAAACCUUUAAACCAGCCGGUAGUGACGUUGACAUAUCAUGACAAUUUAACCAUUGGAAGGAUCUAAAUAACAAGAAAAAGGUGACAUGUGAGUUUUGUAAUCUUACAACUAGUGGAAGAACAAGUAGAGCAAGAAAUCAUCAACUAGGUAUAAAGGGUGAUGUAGUUGAAC
Molecule: long non-coding RNA, 511 nt
Filed under: Lathyrus oleraceus (garden pea)
Lineage: Eukaryota; Viridiplantae; Streptophyta; Magnoliopsida; Fabales; Fabaceae
Description: Pisum sativum (pea) long non-coding RNA (PSAT_LNC019743)
Source: RNAcentral